RNAcentral lists this ribosomal RNA (425 nucleotides) under uncultured bacterium. RNAcentral describes it as "partial 16S ribosomal RNA". It matches the Rfam family "Bacterial small subunit ribosomal RNA", at positions 354 to 796 of the family's 1533-position model. The record is from RNAcentral.
GUGGGGAAUCUUAGACAAUGGGCGCAAGCCUGAUCUAGCCAUGCCGCGUGAGCGAUGAAGGCCUUAGGGUUGUAAAGCUCUUUCAGCUGGGAAGAUAAUGACGGUACCAGCAGAAGAAGCCCCGGCUAACUCCGUGCCAGCAGCCGCGGUAAUACGGAGGGGGCUAGCGUUGUUCGGAAUUACUGGGCGUAAAGCGCACGUAGGCGGAUCAGAAAGUCAGAGGUGAAAUCCCAGGGCUCAACCUUGGAACUGCCUUUGAAACUCCUGAUCUUGAGGUCGAGAGAGGUGAGUGGAAUUCCGAGUGUAGAGGUGAAAUUCGUAGAUAUUCGGAGGAACACCAGUGGCGAAGGCGGCUCACUGGCUCGAUACUGACGCUGAGGUGCGAAAGCGUGGGGAGCAAACAGGAUUAGAAACCCGGGUAGUCC